GGUCACGUCAAAAACGCUAGGUCCUUUUCCCGGCGCCGCAGUGAACUAGUCUGCGUCUUCUCGUCGACUAACCUCUGGGCUUUUGUCUGACCGCUGAACAAUUCCCGGGCAGAGCAGGAGGGAAAUACAUUUCACUGAUUAAAGCUCCACAUUGGAAUGAUCACCCAGCUACCUCAGCUACAUGGAAGCAUAGAGCAGGACUCAACCUCAUUCCAAGGGUGAAAUGGGUCUGCUCCAGAAAUGUUCUCCUGCGGAGAUCUCGUAAGAAGUGCCCUCAGCUGGUCCGUCCGUCUGCCAUUAGGCCUCUCCACACUUUUUAUCCCUAGACCUCCGAGACCUCAAACUGCCAAAUGAGUUGAAUUAUGGCCAGUUAUGUGGAGUGGACCCAGCGUCACGGGGGAGAGGCCUGAGUCAGUGGAACUAACCACACUCCUGACCAUUAAAAGGCAGCCUGACACUGCCUCUUCAUCUUAUCCCCUGCUCUCAAAGGCCGGCAUUGAAAACCCAUGUUCCCCAGAGGAGAGACACAGAACAGCAAACCAACCAAUGAGCCAGGCAGGCAGCCAUGCAGUCUGUCAGGCAGGCAGGAAAGCAACCAA
This is a long non-coding RNA of Xiphias gladius (swordfish), 599 nucleotides long. RefSeq lists it as uncharacterized. Lineage: Eukaryota; Metazoa; Chordata; Actinopteri; Istiophoriformes; Xiphiidae. The record is from RefSeq and is a predicted model, not a curated record. The transcript has 4 exons.